AAGUCGUAACAAGGUUUCCGUAGGUGAACCUGCGGAAGGAUCAUUAAAGAAUAAUACACAACACUUUUAGGCAUAAACUCAUAAUAUUAAAUUUCAAUAACUAAUAAAAAAAAAAAACUUUCAACAACGGAUCUCUUGGUUCUC
Molecule: unclassified non-coding RNA, 144 nt
Filed under: fungal sp.
Lineage: Eukaryota; Fungi
Description: partial internal transcribed spacer region
Rfam family: Eukaryotic small subunit ribosomal RNA (bases 1-46)
Source: RNAcentral